Molecule: ribosomal RNA, 352 nt
Filed under: uncultured prokaryote
Description: partial 16S ribosomal RNA
Source: RNAcentral
CCCUACGGGGUGCAGCAGGUAGGAGACGGAACAGAAAACCUCUUUUUCAAAUGGGGUACUCCCAAAAUAAUUUUCUGCUCACACCUCGAUACAGUACCUCCAUAUAUACCACCCUCUUUCAUGCAGUCUUCAGGAAAAGAGGGAGUUUAUGAAGAAAUGACAGUAAAGGGCAGGGGCAGCUGUGAUGCAAAAGGUCAGAUAAUUUCACAAUAUAUUGUUGCUAAAGAGCUGGAGAGAGAGGGCUUUUCAGACUUCGGAAUUUUGUGGGUUUCAGGAGAGGAGACAGGCUCCCUUGGAGCCAGAAAGGCAAACUCAAUGAUAAAGGGAGCAGAAUAUGUUAUUGUGGGGGGGC